CCAAAGUUGCAUUUUAAUGCAAAUUUUACCAAACGGUAUUUGCAUUUCGAAAACCCCCUUGAGCCAAAGGUAUUUGCAUUUUGGCAAAUGCAUUCCCCCAAAGCCGAACCAAACGGGCCCAUAAUCAUCUGCAUUUGAUGACGCAUGAUGCUCGUUACGCAUCGAUUUAGGUUGUACCGAUGUUCGAGAAUCUCGCGACGACAAGUGAGAACUGAUCAAUCAUUCGGCAAAAAGAAGAGAGGUGGCUGUAUUGACGUAACAUUGUUACGAUACGAUUAAGGAGACUAGGACCCGGUUUGCCUCAUUAGAUAAGUAGUAAGUUCAACCAAACACCAAAGUAAUCCUUCCAUCAAACGGCACUGUCCUUAACCGGGGGAACUGAGCCAACCUGUGAUUGAGGACAGUGCCGUAAGGCGUGUUAACCCAGCCGUGGACAUCUAAUCUACCUUCACUCAUUUCAGGUACGGGAGAUUACUAUACUUGUUUAUCCGAUAGUAGCCAGAACCGAAGUUCUGAUGUGGUGUUUAUCUUUACCACCGUGAAAUUUCCUAAUUUCCUGUCUAUUUUUAUUUUCCUGACAGAGAGGGAAUAAGAAGACAGCGCGAGGUUUCUCAUCCCAGGGCGAUUCUCCCGCCUGUUUUUUCCAUGAGCCUUUUAAGGACUUGCUCACGUCCGAAACUGUCCUAUCACGGAAGAAAAAUUGCCGAAACUUGUUCCUUCUGGUUGCCAUUUCGAGCAAGCACGACCGACGCUGCACGUGCUUGCGGAUUGAGAAAAUUUGU
RNAcentral lists this long non-coding RNA (782 nucleotides) under Eucalyptus grandis. RNAcentral describes it as "long non-coding RNA (EGRA_LNC000501)". The record is from RNAcentral. Lineage: Eukaryota; Viridiplantae; Streptophyta; Magnoliopsida; Myrtales; Myrtaceae.